AUCCUUUUAUAGCUCAUGAGCAUGAUGAUUGGGUGUUCACACUGUUGCGUGAGAUGUGCCUCCCAAAAACCUUGUUAUGAUGUUGGCACAUUACCAGUCUGACA
Diceros bicornis minor is the source of this 104-nucleotide small nucleolar RNA. RefSeq annotates it as small nucleolar RNA U13. The transcript has a single exon. NCBI's taxonomy places the organism in Eukaryota, Metazoa, Chordata, Mammalia, Perissodactyla, Rhinocerotidae. The record is from RefSeq and is a predicted model, not a curated record.